CCUACGGGGAGCAGCAGUGAGGAAUAUUGGUCAAUGGACGCAAGUCUGAACCAGCCAUGCCGCGUGCAGGAAGACGGCUCUAUGAGUUGUAAACUGCUUUUGUACGAGGGUAAACGCAGAUACGCGUAUCUGUCUGAAAGUAUCGUACGAAUAAGGAUCGGCUAACUCCGUGCCAGCAGCCGCGGUAAUACGGAGGAUUCAAGCGUUAUCCGGAUUUAUUGGGUUUAAAGGGUGCGUAGGCGGUCGGAUAAGUUAGAGGUGAAAUCCCGAGGCUCAACUUCGGAAUUGCCUCUGAUACUGUCCGGCUAGAGAGUAGUUGCGGUAGGCGGAAUGUAUGGUGUAGCGGUGAAAUGCUUAGAGAUCAUACAGAACACCGAUUGCGAAGGCAGCUUACCAAGCUACUUCUGACGUUGAGGCACGAAAGCGUGGGGAGCAAACAGGAUUAGAUACCCCAGUAGUC
This 460-nucleotide ribosomal RNA is filed under the name uncultured bacterium. Its description in RNAcentral is "partial 16S ribosomal RNA". It matches the Rfam family "Bacterial small subunit ribosomal RNA", at positions 338 to 795 of the family's 1533-position model. The record is from RNAcentral.